UAGUCGGCCGUCCAGCUCUGCUCCACAAUCUCGCGGACUUUGCGGUUGUACUCGCGCUUGUUCUCGCUGAACAGUCUGGCUGCUUCGGAGUUUGCAGGGGAGUUUGGGUUUGGAUCACAGAGCAGGGACUGGAUAGAGGUCAAUAUCGCAGCAACAUCAUAUAUAGGGCUCCAUUGAUUUUGUAGGAUAUCCAAGCAGAUACUUCCAUCUGCAUAUACUAUUUGGGUGAAACAUCCUUGAGACAAACCGAACAACUGGUGGUUUGUUGGGAUAAUCUUCUGUAAAUUGUAGUGUCAGCUUGAACGUGCCUAUGGUGGCUACGGCGCGUGGGUGGCUACCCGAAUAUGACGGCGUUCCAGAGCAUGAUGUUGUUGUCGUGCGGCGCGCCGCUGAUUCCGGCGGGCGGGUCCUGCUGCAGCCGCUUGAAGUCCCGCAUCAGCCGCUUCCUCGCCGGCGUCGACAUCUC
This 466-nucleotide small RNA is filed under the name Oryza sativa Japonica Group (Japanese rice). RNAcentral describes it as "sRNA Os03g0792050". The record is from RNAcentral. Lineage: Eukaryota; Viridiplantae; Streptophyta; Magnoliopsida; Poales; Poaceae.